This 444-nucleotide ribosomal RNA is filed under the name uncultured bacterium. RNAcentral's name for it is "bacterial SSU rRNA". It matches the Rfam family "Bacterial small subunit ribosomal RNA", at positions 337 to 794 of the family's 1533-position model. The record is from RNAcentral.
UCCUACGGGAGGCAGCAGCAAGGAAUUUUCCGCAAUGGGCGAAAGCCUGACGGAGCAACGCCGCGUGGGUGAUGAAGCCUCUCGGGGUGUAAAACCCUUUUCUAGGGGAAGAAGAUCUGACGGUACCCUAGGAAUAAGCAUCGGCUAACUACGUGCCAGCAGCCGCGGUAAUACGUAGGAUGCAAGCGUUGUCCGGAAUUACUGGGCGUAAAGAGCGCGCAGGCGGCCCUUUAAGUUGGGCGUGAAAUCUCUCGGCUUAACCGGGAGCGGUCGUCCAAAACUGGAGAGCUAACGAGGGUAGGAGAGGAAAGUGGAAUUCCCGGUGUAGUGGUGAAAUGCGUAGAUAUCGGGAGGAACACCUGUGGCGAAGGCGACUUUCUGGCCUGCUCCUGACGCUGAGGCGCGAAGGCUAGGGUAGCGAACGGGAUUAGAUACCCCGGUAGG